Molecule: long non-coding RNA, 369 nt
Filed under: Fukomys damarensis (Damara mole-rat)
Lineage: Eukaryota; Metazoa; Chordata; Mammalia; Rodentia; Bathyergidae
Description: lncRNA (ENSFDAG00000031595.1)
Source: RNAcentral
GUGAUGAUGUCCCGGAUGUAGUCUCCAGCUGCAGUCCCUCACCCAGGCCAUGGCUCCGACACCAGGGACCUCUGCCUCCAGACAGCAGAGCUAAGAAAAAAGCAGGAAGAUGUUACUUAUUUCUACUAACCAUGCACUGCUAAGAGGAAAAAGGUAAAGAAAACAUGUUAUUUACACACGAUGGAGUACUGCUCUGCCUUAAAGAAAGAUAAACUUUGGUCAUUUGUGGGAAAAUAGAUGGACCUUGAGAUCGUAAGUUAAGUGAAAUAAAUCAGUCACACAAGUUUAAGUACUUCAUGGUUCCUCUUAGAUGAGAAAUGCAGAGUAAAACUAAAGGGCAAAAUGAAAGAUGUAUACUAAAAAAGUAGG